RNAcentral lists this ribosomal RNA (442 nucleotides) under uncultured bacterium. Its description in RNAcentral is "SSU rRNA". It matches the Rfam family "Bacterial small subunit ribosomal RNA", at positions 26 to 518 of the family's 1533-position model. The record is from RNAcentral.
AGAACGAACGCUGGCGGCAGGCCUAACACAUGCAAGUCGAACGCCCCGCAAGGGGAGUGGCAGACGGGUGAGUAACGCGUGGGAACAUACCCUUCGGUUCGGAAUAGCUCAGGGAAACUUGAAUUAAUACCGGAUACGUCCGCAAGGAGAAAGAUUUAUCGCCGAAGGAUUGGCCCGCGUCUGAUUAGCUAGUUGGUGAGGUAACGGCUCACCAAGGCGACGAUCAGUAGCUGGUCUGAGAGGAUGAUCAGCCACAUUGGGACUGAGACACGGCCCAAACUCCUACGGGAGGCAGCAGUGGGGAAUAUUGGACAAUGGGCGAAAGCCUGAUCCAGCCAUGCCGCGUGAGUGAUGAAGGCCCUAGGGUUGUAAAGCUCUUUCGUCAGGGACGAUAAUGACGGUACCUGAAGAAGAAGCCCGGCUAACUCGCGCCAGCAGCCGC